Molecule: ribosomal RNA, 814 nt
Filed under: uncultured bacterium
Lineage: Bacteria
Description: bacterial SSU rRNA
Rfam family: Bacterial small subunit ribosomal RNA
Source: RNAcentral
CAUGCAAGUCGAACGGCAGCACGGGAGCAAUCCUGGUGGCGAGUGGCGAACGGGUGAGUAAUGUAUCGGAACGUGCCCAGUCGUGGGGGAUAACGCAGCGAAAGCUGUGCUAAUACCGCAUACGAUCUAUGGAUGAAAGCGGGGGAUCGCAAGACCUCGCGCGACUGGAGUGGCCGAUAUCAGAUUAGCUAGUUGGUGGGGUAAAGGCUCACCAAGGCGACGAUCUGUAGCUGGUCUGAGAGGACGACCAGCCACACUGGAACUGAGACACGGUCCAGACUCCUACGGGAGGCAGCAGUGGGGAAUUUUGGACAAUGGGCGCAAGCCUGAUCCAGCAAUGCCGCGUGCAGGAUGAAGGCCUUCGGGUUGUAAACUGCUUUUGUACGGAGCGAAAAGGUACUCUCUAAUACAGGGUGCUCAUGACGGUACCGUAAGAAUAAGCACCGGCUAACUACGUGCCAGCAGCCGCGGUAAUACGUAGGGUGCGAGCGUUAAUCGGAAUUACUGGGCGUAAAGCGUGCGCAGGCGGUCUUGUAAGACAGAUGUGAAAUCCCCGGGCUCAACCUGGGACCUGCAUUUGUGACUGCAAGGCUGGAGUACGGCAGAGGGGGAUGGAAUUCCGCGUGUAGCAGUGAAAUGCGUAGAUAUGCGGAGGAACACCGAUGGCGAAGGCAAUCCCCUGGGCCUGUACUGACGCUCAUGCACGAAAGCGUGGGGAGCAAACAGGAUUAGAUACCCUGGUAGUCCACGCCCUAAACGAUGUCAACUGGUUGUUGGGUCUUAACUGACUCAGUAACGAAGCUAACGCGUGAAG